Molecule: ribosomal RNA, 831 nt
Filed under: Symbiodinium sp. clade A
Lineage: Eukaryota; Dinophyceae; Suessiales; Symbiodiniaceae
Description: partial Eukaryotic large subunit ribosomal RNA
Rfam family: Eukaryotic large subunit ribosomal RNA
Source: RNAcentral
UCAAGUAAGACUACCUGCUGAAUUUAAGCAUAUUAUUAAGCAGAGGAAAAGAAACUAACAAGGAUACCCCUAGUAAUGGCGAAUGAAGCGGGUAAAGCUCAAAUUUAAAAUCCCUGGUCUCAGCGGCCAGGGAGUUGUAGUCUAGGAUCAGUGCAUGAUAGAGUCCUGCCCCGGUAAAAGUGCUCUGGAAAGGGCCAUCAUAGAAGGUGAAAAUCCUGUACAUGACCGGAGGUGGUUGGGUUCAACGAUUCUUGCGUUGAUACAGAGUCGGGUUGCUUGGGAAUGCAGCCUUAAAUGGGUGGUAAAUCUCAUCUAAAGCUAAAUACUGACAGGAGACCGAUAGUGAACAAGUACCGUGAGGGAAAGAUGAAAAGAACUUUGAAAAGAGAGUUAAAAGUACUUGAAAUUGUUAACAGGGAAUCGCUUCUACUCCAAGCUCUGAUUGUAGGAAAUCAGCCUUGCUCGCGGCGUGUGCUGUAGGACGGAGUUGCCACUCGGUAGCCCGUCCUGCGGUUCUUAGUUGUGAUAAGGGUGCACUUUUCUGCAGUAGGGUCAACAUCAAUUCUCGUUCCGCGAGAUGGUCGUGCAUCAAGGUAGUUCCUCACUUCGGUAAGGAAAACUUAUAGGGUGCGUGUGCCGAGCGGAAGGGGGAUUGAGGACAACAAUGGCAUGCCUCUAGGCUGUGACGUGCGUCACUUGCGCUGAUGGGCUGGCAGACUGCAAGCAGUGUGUCGGCGUAUUGGUGUUGGUAGGUGUACUAGCAAUGUGCCAUCAGGAUGUUGACGUAAGGGGUAGCAUCGACCCGUCUUGAAACACGGACCAAGGAGUCUA